UAACAUUUCAUUCAUUUUGUCCUGGAUGCACACGUGAGGUGUUCUGGAUCAGAGACAGAUUUCCUGUUCAUUACCUUAAGUUUCUUCCUCUUUCAAGCAGUUGUGGGGUAUGGAUUUGCCAACAGAGAAGCCAUCUGGCAGUGACAGGUCCAAGCUGGCCUUGGACUUGAGCUCCUCCUGCCUCAGCCUCCGAGCUGUUACAGGAGUUUAGAGAGAAGACAUCUAUGCGGUUACCUUGGAGGCCAAAGGACACAGAGGUUCUCACAGGCUGAGGAGAGGGAGGAAGAGCGUUCCAGGCCGACAGGAUUGUGAGGAGGCCGGGGCCAGUGGCUGAGGGCGGCCCAGGAAGGAGGAUGGCUCAGUGGAGAGCCUGGACAGAAUGGCUUUUCGGAAAGACGAGCCCGGCAGCCACAUGGGACAAGGACACAUCCAGACUGGAGGCUGGAGUCCCAGUACAGAGCGAGGUCUCACUAAAGUUGCUAAGUUGUUCAGGCUGGGCUCAAACUUUCCAUCCUCCUGCCUCAACCUCCCAGACUGGGAUCAUGGACAUCACCAUCACACCCGGCUCUGAGGUGGUGACUCCAAAGCCAAGACUGGAAUGAAGGGAAGGAGCUGCCAUCUAAGGGACAACCCUGGAUCUCCCAGUAGGGCAGGACCCGCCCCACAGAGGCUGCUCCCAGAGCCCUGCUCCAGCUCCCAUGGCAACACACAGCUCGCUGACUCUCCACUCCUGAGCUCAUCUUGUCUGUAGGGAAAAUUCUUUGUCACAGGGCACCUGUCCCCUGGCCCUCAGCCUGAGGUUCCUAGUGGGUCCUGAGUGGCCCCUGGGACCUGGGCCUGCAGGGUCUCCCUGGGUGCUUCUGGGCCAGCUCGGUGCCUGGGGGCUGAGAGCGAGGGGGGAUCUGGGUUUGCUCGGUGGUUAGGGCAGAGGGAAGGGCACUGGCCGAAGACUGAGAGGGUGAUAAGAGAACAGCUGCUUCAUCCCAUCCGUGUGGCCAGCUUGACUUUCUGAACUUUCCUCCACCCUCUUAGAAUUUCCUCGAAAGAACUAAGGCUGUGUCUACUUUUUAUUUUUGUGGGUAAUGUGUUUUGGAAUGAAACCAACAGUUUCGCUUUCAGUUAGUGACACAGUGGCACUGCCAUUGUGACCGUGGCGUUACCUUGUGGCACAGGACGAGGACUGUGUGAGGGAAAGUUUCCAAGGCCAAUGUAGACAUCAUCGUAGUGGUGGGGUGAGGGCAGCUCUGCAGGAGUGGGUUAGGGCCCUGCUGGGCCUUUGUGAAAACUUAGCAGAAACAACUAUCAUUAGCCUUUUUUUUUUCUGUUUUUCUUUUUUUGGCUUUUUGAGACAAGGUCUUGCUAUGUAGCUCAGGUUAGCCUCAAACUCAUGGUGAUCCUCCUACCUCAGCCUCCCGAGUGCCAGGAUUGCAGGCAUACCCCACACCUGGCAAGUGUUUCUUUUUUUGGUACCAGGGAUCGAACUCUGGUCCUUGCGCUUGCGCAGCAGGCAGGGAAACCACUGAGCUAAAUCCCUGGCCCCUGGCAAGUGUUUCUUUUGAUUCUUGUUGCUUUGGGGAAACAGGGAUGGGAUGGAACCUGUGGACUUACACGUGUGCUAGGCAAGCGCCGCCCCUGAGCUGCAGCUGCUGCCCUCUCCCUUCUUCCCUGAUCCACGGCCAUGCGAGCCUCAGCAACUCCAGCAAAGUACUCUGAGGCAGGAAGGCGAGCAACUAAGCCUUCUCUUAAAUUUGGAAACGCAACCAGGAAAAAAACGUUCAAGCAGAGAAUAUAGAUUAGUCAAGGCUCUAUUUUUGGCAUGUGGAAGACAGUUGUUAGUGUGGACUGUUCUGGAAGGGUUUGGUUGGCUGGGGCUGGGCUGAGUACUAUCUUUCAUGCCCCAAAGACUGUUAGGUCUGAGCCCGGCUGUAGCUUUAAGAAAUCUAACUCCAACUUCUCCAGAAUAGAAAUCGCUCAAGUAUUUUUUUUGAAAUAAGGAAGUAGAUGUGGUCCUAUAUCGCCCGGCUGGUUCUAUAUAUUGAGACAAGAGUGUGAAGUAUUGUUUUACCUUCUCUUCUCAUAAAGCUAAAGAAUAAGCCAUAGAGUAUAUUGCUAUGCAUUUGUCUUGAUGUACACGGAAGCAAAUUUGAGAAUUCACCUAUGUGUUUUCAUUUAAAUUUGGUGGAGGGGGGUGGUGCGAGGUUUAGAUGGAUGUGAAUGGCACACACUUGUCUUCCCAGCACUUGGGAGGCCGAGGCAGGGGGAUCCUGCAAGUUCUAGGCCAGCCUGGGCUGCAUAGUGAGUUCAAG
Molecule: non-coding RNA, 2306 nt
Organism: Heterocephalus glaber (naked mole-rat)
Lineage: Eukaryota; Metazoa; Chordata; Mammalia; Rodentia; Bathyergidae
Source: RefSeq, a predicted model, not a curated record